This 501-nucleotide ribosomal RNA is filed under the name uncultured bacterium. RNAcentral describes it as "bacterial SSU rRNA". It matches the Rfam family "Bacterial small subunit ribosomal RNA", at positions 9 to 507 of the family's 1533-position model. The record is from RNAcentral.
GAGUUUGAUCAUGGCUCAGAUUGAACGCUGGCGGCAUGCUUUACACAUGCAAGUCGAACGGGCUUAGGGGCUUGCUCCUAAGUUAGUGGCGAACGGGUGAGUAAUACAUCGGAACGUACCGUGUAGUGGGGGAUAACGUAGCGAAAGUUACGCUAAUACCGCAUACGAUCUACGGAUGAAAGUGGGGGACCUUCGGGCCUCACGCUAUACGAGCGGCCGAUGUCUGAUUAGCUAGUUGGUGAGGUAGAGGCUCACCAAGGCAACGAUCAGUAGCGGGUCUGAGAGGAUGAUCCGCCACACUGGGACUGAGACACGGCCCAGACUCCUACGGGAGGCAGCAGUGGGGAAUUUUGGACAAUGGGCGAAAGCCUGAUCCAGCCAUGCCGCGUGUCUGAAGAAGGCCUUCGGGUUGUAAAGGACUUUUGUCAGGGAGCAAAACUUAGAGGUUAAUAACCUUUGAGGUUGAGAGUACCUGAAGAAUAAGCACCGGCUAACUACGUG